UUUUUCUUUUACUAUAAUAAAAAAAUUCAAAUAUUUCAAUGAAUUUUAUCAAGUGAGCAUAUCCGUUGGAGGAUAUGAGAAUUUAAAAACAAAAUAGAUUCGUCGUAAAAUUAAUAAAUCUAUCUUCAAAAACAUUGUAGUCUCGUGAUAAAUAUUAUUAAUCCGAACUGCCCGACUAAUCUUACUCAACAGCCUUCGAAUUUCAACACCAAUUCAUCCCAUAGAAGGCUAAGUGCCCAAGAGAUUCAUCGGAAUCGAAGUUAUGGCAAACAAAUAUGUGAGAGAUCCAAAG
This 292-nucleotide unclassified non-coding RNA is filed under the name Hevea brasiliensis (rubber tree). Lineage: Eukaryota; Viridiplantae; Streptophyta; Magnoliopsida; Malpighiales; Euphorbiaceae. The record is from RNAcentral.